GGGCGGUUAGCUCAGUUGGUAGAGCAGCGGACUUUUAAUCCGUUGGUCCGGGGUUCGAGCCCCCGACGGCCCACCA
RNAcentral lists this transfer RNA (76 nucleotides) under Burkholderiales bacterium. Its description in RNAcentral is "tRNA-Lys". It matches the Rfam family "tRNA". Rfam says of the family: Transfer RNA (tRNA) molecules are approximately 80 nucleotides in length. Their secondary structure includes four short double-helical elements and three loops (D, anti-codon, and T loops). The record is from RNAcentral. Lineage: Bacteria; Pseudomonadati; Pseudomonadota; Betaproteobacteria; Burkholderiales.